RNAcentral lists this ribosomal RNA (450 nucleotides) under uncultured bacterium. RNAcentral's name for it is "partial 16S ribosomal RNA". It matches the Rfam family "Bacterial small subunit ribosomal RNA", at positions 354 to 796 of the family's 1533-position model. The record is from RNAcentral.
GUGGGGAAUUUUGGACAAUGGGCGAAAGCCUGAUCUAGCAAUGCCGCGUGUGUGAAGAAGGCCUUCGGGUUGUAAAGCACUUUUGUCCGGAAAGAAAUCCUUUGGGUUAAUACCUCGGAGGGAUGACGGUACCGGAAGAAUAAGGACCGGCUAACUACGUGCCAGCAGCCGCGGUAAUACGUAGGGUCCGAGCGUUAAUCGGAAUUACUGGGCGUAAAGCGUGCGCAGGCGGUUUUGUAAGACAGAUGUGAAAUCCCCGGGCUUAACCUGGGAAUUGCAUUUGUGACUGCAAGGCUAGAGUGUGUCAGAGGGGGGUAGAAUUCCACGUGUAGCAGUGAAAUGCGUAGAGAUGUGGAGGAAUACCGAUGGCGAAGGCAGCCCCCUGGGAUAACACUGACGCUCAUGCACGAAAGCGUGGGGAGCAAACAGGAUUAGAUACCCUGGUAGUCC